UCAGGAUGAACGCUGGCGGCGUGCCUAACACAUUCAAGUCGAACGGACGCGUCCCUUCGGGGGACAAGUUAGUGGCGGACGGGUGAGUAAUGCAUGAGCAACCUGCCUCGAAGAGGGGAAUAACACAGAGAAAUUUGUGCUAAUACCGCAUAAUGUGUAGGGGAGGCAUCUCUCUUACUAAGAAAGGAGCAAUCCGCUUUGAGAUGGGCUCAUGUCUGAUUAGACAGUUGGCGGGUAACGGCCCACCAAAUCUACGAUCAGUAGCCGGACUGAGAGGUUGAACGGCCACAUUGGGACUGAGACACGGCCCAGACUCCUACGGGAGGCAGCAGUGGGGAAUAUUGGACAAUGGGCGAAAGCCUGAUCCCAGCGACGCCGCGUGAAGGAAGAAGGUCUUCGGAUUGUAAACUUUAGUGAGCAGGGACGAUAAUGACGGUACCUGCAUAGCAAGCCACGGCUAACUACGUGCCAGCCGCCGC
Molecule: ribosomal RNA, 479 nt
Filed under: uncultured bacterium
Lineage: Bacteria
Description: bacterial SSU rRNA
Rfam family: Bacterial small subunit ribosomal RNA
Source: RNAcentral